ACGGGAGGCAGCAGUGGGGAAUAUUGGGCAAUGGGCGAAAGCCUGACCCAGCAACGCCGCGUGAAGGAAGAAGGUUUUCGGAUUGUAAACUUCUUUUAUCAGGGACGAAGAAUGUGACGGUACCUGAUGAAUAAGCCACGGCUAACUACGUGCCAGCAGCCGCGGUAAUACGUAGGUGGCAAGCGUUAUCCGGAUUUACUGGGUGUAAAGGGCGCGUAGGCGGGGAUGCAAGUCAGAUGUGAAAUCCAUGGGCUUAACCCAUGAACUGCAUUUGAAACUGUAUUUCUUGAGUGUCGGAGAGGUAGACGGAAUUCCUAGUGUAGUGGUGAAAUGCGUAGAUAUUAGGAGGAACACCAGUGGCGAAGGCGGUCUACUGGACGAUAACUGACGCUGAGGCGCGAAAGCGUGGGGAGCAGACAGGAUUAGAUACCCUGGUA
This 437-nucleotide ribosomal RNA is filed under the name uncultured Oscillospiraceae bacterium. RNAcentral describes it as "partial 16S ribosomal RNA". It matches the Rfam family "Bacterial small subunit ribosomal RNA", at positions 341 to 792 of the family's 1533-position model. The record is from RNAcentral. Lineage: Bacteria; Bacillati; Bacillota; Clostridia; Eubacteriales; Oscillospiraceae.